RNAcentral lists this ribosomal RNA (478 nucleotides) under uncultured bacterium. RNAcentral describes it as "bacterial SSU rRNA". It matches the Rfam family "Bacterial small subunit ribosomal RNA", at positions 325 to 793 of the family's 1533-position model. The record is from RNAcentral.
CACUGUCACUCCUACGGGAGCAGCAGUGGGAAUAUUGCACAAUGGGCGCAAGCCUGAUGCAGCCAGUGCCGCGUGUAUGAAGAAGGCCUUCGGGUUGUAAAGUACUUUCAGUCGUGAGGAAGGCGGCGUCGUUAAUAGCGGCGUUCGUUUGACGUUAGCGACAGAAGAAGCACCGGCUAACUCCGUGCCAGCAGCCCGCGGUAAUACGGAGGGUGCGAGCGUUAAUCGGAAUUACUGGGCGUAAAGCGCAUGCAGGUGGUUUGUUAAGUCAGAUGUGAAAGCCCCGGGGCUCAACCUCGGAAUUGCAUUUGAAACUGGCAGACUAGAGUACUGUAGAGGGGGUAGAAUUUCAGGUGUAGCGGUGAAAUGCGUAGAGAUCUGAAGGAAUACCGGUUGGCGAAGGCGGCCCCCUGGACAGAUACUGACACUCAGGACUGCGAAAGCGUGGGGAGCCAAACAGGAUUAGAUACCCUGGUAG